This 200-nucleotide ribosomal RNA is filed under the name uncultured bacterium. Its description in RNAcentral is "partial 16S ribosomal RNA". It matches the Rfam family "Bacterial small subunit ribosomal RNA", at positions 1301 to 1500 of the family's 1533-position model. The record is from RNAcentral.
UAGGCUGCAACUCGCCUACAUGAAGUCGGAAUCGCUAGUAAUCGCGGAUCAGCAUGCCGCGGUGAAUACGUUCCCGGGCCUUGUACACACCGCCCGUCACACCAUGAGAGUUUGUAACACCCAAAGCCGGUGGGGUAACCUUUUGGAGCCAGCCGUCUAAGGUGGGACAGAUGAUUAGGGUGAAGUCGUAACAAGGUACC